This 253-nucleotide ribosomal RNA is filed under the name uncultured bacterium. Its description in RNAcentral is "partial 16S ribosomal RNA". It matches the Rfam family "Bacterial small subunit ribosomal RNA", at positions 524 to 776 of the family's 1533-position model. The record is from RNAcentral.
UACGUAGGUGGCAAGCGUUGUCCGGAAUCAUUGGGCGUAAAGCGCGUGUAGGCGGCUCGGUAAGUCCGCUCUGAAAGUCCAGGGCUCAACCCUGGGAUGCGGGUGGAUACUGCCGGGCUCGAGUCCGGAAGAGGCGAGUGGAAUUCCCGGUGUAGCGGUGAAAUGCGCAGAUAUCGGGAGGAACACCAAUGGCGAAGGCAGCUCGCUGGGACGUGACUGACGCUGAGACGCGAAAGCGUGGGGAGCAAACAGG